Molecule: long non-coding RNA, 629 nt
Organism: Eufriesea mexicana
Lineage: Eukaryota; Metazoa; Arthropoda; Insecta; Hymenoptera; Apidae
Exons: 4
Source: RefSeq, a predicted model, not a curated record
UUGAAAAAACAUAAUAAAGAUUGGAAUGAAGGAAAAUAAAUGAAUAGUUUGUCACAUUGAAGAUAAAACGCAUAUUGCUACAUUAAGCGUAGUAACAUCAAAAAUAAGUGGUGUCACUAUAAAUAAACUACUACGUCACAAGAUCCUCGUUGCUGCUAACGACUGAGAGAAAAAGAAAACACCGGAUUGAAACGCCACCUCUAUCAUGUAGAUCGCCUUGAGGAGCUCCAUGUUAGUUUGUGUUUUCUUUUGGCACGACAACUUCGUGACCGUGGCGAAUAAUUUUUACUAUUCCACAAUAUCGAUACAGGAUUUACGAUUAAAGAAACGGAGUACCUUAAUCGUGUAACAAAGGAAUUUGAUAAAAGCACAAGGACUUUGAAAUUCUUGUUCAUCAUUGAAGAAACUAAUUCGAUUGAUUCGACGAUUGUUUAGAUUUUUUACGAUUGUUCCCCAGGAUAACAAAGUGCUAACCUCACCCUUCCAGAGACACUUAAUUUUUAUGACAUACAUAAUACAUGUAAACUUUCGAUUCCAAAUAAUCAAAAUACAGCAUGUAAACAUAUCUGUGUUAUUUCUCAACAUUUUUUAACAAGUACCUAAAAACGAGGCUUCUUAAUGCAUCAGGC